UAGUCCACGCCGUAAACGAUGGAUACUAGCUGUCCGGGGCCUUGUGUCCUGGGCGGCCAAGCGAAAGUGAUAAGUAUCCCACCUGGGGAGUACGUUCGCAAGAAUGAAACUCAAAAGAAUUGACGGGGGCCCGCACAAGCGGUGGAGCAUGUGGUUUAAUUCGAUGAUACGCGAGGAACCUUACCAGGGCUUAAAUGCAUAAUGACAGGGGCAGAGACGCCCUUUUCUUCGGACAUUUUGCAAGGUGCUGCAUGGUUGUCGUCAGCUCGUGCCGUGAGGUGUCAGGUUAAGUCCUAUAACGAGCGCAACCCCUGCCGUUAGUUGCCAGCAAGUAAAGUUGGGGACUCUAACGGGACUGCCGGUGCAAACCGCGAGGAAGUGGGGACACGUCAAAUCAUCACGGGCCCUUACGUCCUGGGGCCACACACGUGCUACAAUGGCCGGUACAGAGAGCAGCCACGCCGCAAGGCGGAGUGAAUCUACAAAACCGGGUCACAGUUCGGGAUCGGGGGUCUGGCAACCCGACCCCGU
This 531-nucleotide ribosomal RNA is filed under the name uncultured bacterium. Its description in RNAcentral is "bacterial SSU rRNA". It matches the Rfam family "Bacterial small subunit ribosomal RNA", at positions 791 to 1321 of the family's 1533-position model. The record is from RNAcentral.